CGCGGGGUGGAGCAGCCCGGUAGCUCGUCAGGCUCAUAACCUGAAGGUCGUAGGUUCAAAUCCUACCCCCGCAU
Saccharibacter sp. AM169 is the source of this 74-nucleotide non-coding RNA. The record is from Rfam. Lineage: Bacteria; Pseudomonadati; Pseudomonadota; Alphaproteobacteria; Acetobacterales; Acetobacteraceae.